AGAUAAAAUAAAAUAAAAGCUUUAUUAUCUGAGUUAUUAUUUAAUAAAUUCAAGCAAAUUAUUACACUAUAACACUGUAAAUUCAGCAUUUACAUGUAUGCCAUGUAUAUUUUUUACAGAUAUUUUAAUACAUGUAUACUAAGAUUCUAAGCAUUUGUUUGUGUUUAUUUUCUUAUCAAUCUUUCACAAUAAACAUGAUAAAAGAUAUCAAUAUCCAUUAAACAUAAAAAGUUGCUUAAUAGGGGAACCUGAUUAUAAUCAAAUUAACUACUUUUACUAGUUUGUCUACAUGAAUGUUAAGGGUAGUUAAAGCAGUUGAUUCAGAACCAUGGGCAAUACAAUUUGUAGCAGAUUUAUCUACUGGUACAAAUACUCAAAUACUAAUACUAGACAAGCACUCCUACAGUAAGAGAGCCAUACAGGUGCUAUCUAAACAAGCUUGUAAUCUAGUAAGCGUAAGAGAAAGUCCACAGACUGAAUACAUAAAUAUCAAAAAUAGGAAGUGGGGAUUGCAGAAAUGCCAUCUGAAGAAGAAAUAGACAAUACCAAUGCUGAUGAUACAGAAGCUAUAACAGCAUUAAUGUCAAUAUAAAAUUCACUAAAAUAUACUAUUGAGACUUGGAAAGAGAGAACUGGAAGAAAAGAUAGAAGUAAGUAAAGAGUUUGUUAAAAUGCUGAGACAGUAUGGUUCCCUUAAGAAAAAAACAUCAGAAGUUUUAAAACUUUCUUUGAUUACAAUCACAGUGUACCAUAAAUGGCAUAAUCAGUUAAACAUACAAUCAUUCCAUAUAAAAUUGUCAUGUCAUAUGUUAAUAUCAUUAUGCAUAUAUAUGUGACACCUUUAAUAAAAGAUUACUUACCUAUAUGUAUUGUUUAUUUUAAAAAAAACACAAUACUGGUACAAUACUGGAAUACAAUACUGGUACAAAAUUUUUAUACCAGUAUUGUGCACAAUACUAGUAUACCAGUAUUGCGAUCACCAACUACAGGAGAUCCGACAAAAGUUUCCAAUCUGUGUUUAUUUUGUAGAUGUAUACUUGUUUAUUAUAGUUACACCAAUUUAAUUUUGUAUCCAUAUUGAAUCAUAGAAAAAUGAGUAUGAACCGACCUCCAAACGAUCCAGGAUUCCAUUUAUAUGAGGAGUACCCAACUUGCAUCGGCCAGCUGGCCAUGCUUAAAUUCACAUCCUUAAGAAUUGAAUAACAGCUAGAUGUUUUGUUCCAUUUCUUCAAAUAUUUAGAACAAUUUGACAUUAGUCCAUGCUUGCUAUCCAUUUAAUAAGAAAUGAUGACUUUUUGAGAACAUCGCAUGACGACGAUUCCGUAGAUUUACUUUUUCCAGUGAAAGCUUCAUCUGUUGAUAUUUACUGUGAACGUUUUGUGUAUAUUUAAAUAUAUUCAGCUAUGUUAAAAGACAUGUGUAAUGUCAAAUCAUAAAAAUACUAAGUGUUUAUUCUUAAAGAAAACUUGUAAGAUUUCCACAGCUGUUUUUGUUGAUAUGUGCAAUUUGUGUACUUGGUGCAAUUUGGGUACUGUCACGUUAUAUCUCUUCUCUACAGAGCUAAGUAUUUAGUGACAAUCUAUUUUUGUAUUGGAUAAUGUAUCUGGUCUAAAAAAAAAAUAGUUUGCCACAAGUAUUUAGUGACAAUCUAUUCCUGUAUUAGAUGAUGUUUCUGGUGUGAUUUUUUUUAUUAUUUUACCACUGAAUGAAUCAACAAUCAAACUAUAUAAGUAGAUUGAAGUUAAAAAAAAUAUCUGGAAAAUUUACUAAAUCCCAAGACAGAAUGAAUAAUAUAAUUAUAACUUUUUUGUUAUGCCCCACUGCUAGUCAAAGGGGCAUUAACUUUUACUGUUGUCAUGAUGUCCAUCCAUACAUAUGUCUGUCUGUACAGAAAUUGGUUUCCAUUUUCUUACUUUAUUUGCACACAAUUAUUUUUUUCACAGAACACAGAUUAAUUUAUUAGAAUUUGAGUGGCAUCACUUUGACCGUUCGUGAGUUAUGCCCCUUUAUUAACGCAAAAAUUGCUGAAUCUUUCUUUUCUAGUCUCUAACUUUAGUUUGUCCCAACAAAUGUUAUAAAACUUAUACACUACUUAUUACCACAAAACACAGAUCAAGUUUGAAUUUGACUCCCGUCACUGUAACCGUUCUUGAGUUACAUGUAUUUAUGCUCCUUUAUUAUUAAAUAGAAAAAAUUGCCAAAUCUGUUGUGGAUCCGACAAACUUUUGUAUACAGAUUUUAUUUAUUUAGAUAUGAUUUACAAACUUCAGAAAAGGUUGAGAAGCAUUUUAAUUCUAGGGAAUUCCAACCUGAAGCAAGUUAUACCAAUGGAAUUGAUGGAAGCCCCCAAUAGAACACUGUGCAUAACUGGGGUUGCAACUUCACCAUCUGAUACAGCAUCUAGUUCAUCAAAGAUAACCUAUGCUGAAGUGGUGAGACUUCCUCUGCAUGCAACAGGUCAGACCAAACUAAAACCACGUUUGAUAAUAAGUGUAUGGAAAUGAAGAAAUCAAUUGGAGUCCCUACAUUUAAAAGGAGGAGUGUGUCUUCAGUUGAGAUUGGUAGAAAAAAAGAAAAAAACAGUUAGGACUCAUCUCACAGAUGAAGAAGUGGCACUUAUGAAACAGGAUACAGGGUAAAGACGAGUGAUCUAGUGUUUGGGGUCACCGAGGAUGUGGCUGUUGUCCUACCAAACAAAGCUUUACUGGAACAUAGUUUUUAUCAGGCAGAAUUCAGACAGACAGAGAUUCGUCAUUUCAGAUACCAAAUAAAGAAAAUGCUGUUGAGGAACAGGGGAGUUUCUGUGAUGAGAAUGAUACACAAAGAGCAUUUGAGUGUGAUGAAGUUGAGAGUAGUAUUUUAACCAAAAGAACAUCUGCCUUAACAACAGUGAAGGUUUUAGCGAGCAGGUGCUAUUUGGUGAUGUUGAAAGAAAUCCAGGACCUACAAUGGUUUAUCAAGACUAAUCUUAGUGCUUGCCAUACAAGUGUCAAAGAGUGAAGGGCAAGAACAAUUUUAAAGAACAGAGAAGACUUGUUUUAUUGCACUUAGUUUUGAGUUUUUGUUUUAUAUUUUACCACUAUGAUAGAGUAAUGUAACAUUCAGGAAAUGUAUUGUUCUGAUA
Long non-coding RNA from Mytilus californianus (California mussel), 3124 nucleotides. RefSeq lists it as uncharacterized. The transcript has 8 exons. The record is from RefSeq and is a predicted model, not a curated record. NCBI's taxonomy places the organism in Eukaryota, Metazoa, Mollusca, Bivalvia, Mytilida, Mytilidae.